UACGAAGGGUGCAAACGUUGCUCGGAAUUAUUGGGCGUAAAGCGCACGUAGGCGGCUUUGCAAGUCCCAUGUGAAAUCCCACGGCUUAACCGUGGAAGUGCAUGGGAAACUGCAGAGCUUGAGUACUUAAGAGGAUCGCGGAAUUCCCGGUGUAGAGGUGAAAUUCGUAGAUAUUAGGAAGAACACCAGUGGCGAAGGCGGCUCACUGGUCCGGUACUGACGCUGAGGUGCGAAAGCGUGGGGAGCGAACAGG
RNAcentral lists this ribosomal RNA (253 nucleotides) under uncultured bacterium. Its description in RNAcentral is "partial 16S ribosomal RNA". It matches the Rfam family "Bacterial small subunit ribosomal RNA", at positions 524 to 776 of the family's 1533-position model. The record is from RNAcentral.